UGCAGUCGAACGCAGUAGCAAUACUGAGUGGCAAACGGGUGAGUAUAAUGUGGGAAUCUGCCUUUUGGUUUGGAAUAACACGGGGAAACUUGUGCUAAUACCGAAUAAGCCCUUACGGGGAAAGUUUUAAUGCCGAAAGAUGAGCCUGCACUUGAUUAGCUAGUUGGUAAGGUAAAGGCUUACCAAGGCUACGAUCAAUAGCUGUUCUUAGAGGAAGACCAGCCACAUUGGGACUGAGACACGGCCCAGACUCCUACGGGAGGCAGCAGUGGGGAAUCUUGCACAAUGGGGGAAACCCUGAUGCAGCGAUGCCGCGUGAGUGAAGAAGGCCCUUGGGUUGUAAAACUCUUUCGUCGGGGAAGAAAAUGACUGUACCCGAAUAAGAAGGUCCGGCUAACUUCGUGCCAGCAGCCGCGGUAAUACGAAGGGACCUAGCGUAGUUCGGAAUUACUGGGCUUAAAGAGCUCGUAGGUGGUUAAAAAAGUUGAUGGUGAAAUCCCAAGGCUCAACCUUGGAACUGCCAUCAAAACUUUUCAGCUAGAGUGUGAUAGAGGUAAGUGGAAUUUCUAGUGUAGAGGUGAAAUUCGUAGAUAUUAGAAAGAACACCAAAUGCGAAGGCAACUUACUGGGUCACUACUGACACUGAGGAGCGAAAGCAUGGGUAGCGAAGAGGAUUAGAUACCCUCGUAGUCCAUGCCGUAAACGAUGUGUGCUAGACGUUGGAAAUAUAUUUUUCAGUGUCGCGGCGAAAGCAUUAAGCACACCGCCUGGGGAGUACGACCGCAAGGUUAAAACUCAAAUGAAUUGACGGGGACCCGCACAAGCAGUGGAGCAUGUGGUUUAAUU
This 846-nucleotide ribosomal RNA is filed under the name uncultured marine bacterium. RNAcentral's name for it is "bacterial SSU rRNA". It matches the Rfam family "Bacterial small subunit ribosomal RNA", at positions 56 to 951 of the family's 1533-position model. The record is from RNAcentral.